This is a non-coding RNA of Gasterosteus aculeatus aculeatus (three-spined stickleback), 688 nucleotides long. The record is from RefSeq and is a predicted model, not a curated record. NCBI's taxonomy places the organism in Eukaryota, Metazoa, Chordata, Actinopteri, Perciformes, Gasterosteidae.
UUGAAACGGGCUGAACGCAUCUUUCCCUCCAAGACAAAUGUUGACCUUUACUCCUCUCAGAGUUUGACUCCUUCAGUGUUCAGUCUGUGGAAGUCUUAUUUUCUAAAGUCAUCCAUGUUCAGUGUAGCUGAUGCUGGGGGACAUUAGUGUGGUGAGACGGAGGGAAAGAGGACAAAGAGACAGAAUGGAAAUACUUUGUCACGUCAAGAAGAAGAACUUUGAGCAGCAACUUGCUCUCAGUGGGUUUAGUUUCUGCUGUUAAGCUUCUCUGUGUCCUCAGGAAGAGACGACGUGAGACAUUUUAAGCGACUUCUGUCACUUCAUGUUAAGCAGUGAUGAGCUGAAGGAAUCAUUGUGACUCCUGUGUUUGUGCUGAAGGGACGUGAUCUGCUCCUCAAGCUUGAUGCUGAUCUUCCUGGGAAGUUUCUAUAUCUUGACUGGAAAAUCAAUAAAACAAUCAAAUUAGUAAGAUUUCUACCUAGUGGAAAAUCAAUUGUCCUUCAUAAUUCCACGGGAGGGUUCGAGUUUCCUGAGAGAUUCUCUGUGACAUUGAAGAAUCUACAAGAGGCCGACAGCGGACUUUAUGCUGCUGUAGUAGUAACAUUUUCAGGAGACAAACUAGUAGCUGAAUACAAGGUCACAGUUCAAGGACCAGUGUCUCCAGUUGAACUGAUCGUGGACCGAGUGG